GGUUAAGCGACUAAGCGUACACGGUGGAUGCCCUGGCAGUCAGAGGCGAUGAAGGACGUGCUAAUCUGCGAAAAGCGUCGGUAAGGUGAUAUGAACCGUUAUAACCGGCGAUGUCCGAAUGGGGAAACCCAGUGCAAUUCGUUGCACUAUCGUUAACUGAAUACAUAGGUUAACGAGGCGAACCGGGGGAACUGAAACAUCUAAGUACCCCGAGGAAAAGAAAUCAACCGAGAUUCCCCCAGUAGCGGCGAGCGAACGGGGAGCAGCCCAGAGUCUGAAUCAGCUUGUGUGUUAGUGGAACGGUCUGGAAAGUCCGACGGUACAGGGUGAUAGUCCCGUACACCAAAAUGCACAGGUUGUGAACUCGAAGAGUAGGGCGGGACACGUGGUAUCCUGUCUGAAUAUGGGGGGACCAUCCUCCAAGGCUAAAUACUCCUGACUGACCGAUAGUGAACCAGUACCGUGAGGGAAAGGCGAAAAGAACCCCGGCGAGGGGAGUGAAAAAGAACCUGAAACCGUGUACGUACAAGCAGUGGGAGCACCUUCGGGUGUGACUGCGUACCUUUUGUAUAAUGGGUCAGCGACUUAUAUUCUGUAGCAAGGUUAACCGUAUAGGGGAGCCGCAGGGAAACCGAGUCUUAACUGGGCGUUAAGUUGCAGGGUAUAGACCCGAAACCCGGUGAUCUAGCCAUGGGCAGGUUGAAGGUUGGGUAACACUAACUGGAGGACCGAACCGACUAAUGUUGAAAAAUUAGCGGAUGACUUGUGGCUGGGGGUGAAAGGCCAAUCAAACCGGGAGAUAGCUGGUUCUCCCCGAAAGCUAUUUAGGUAGCGCCUCGUGAAUUCAUCUUCGGGGGUAGAGCACUGUUUCGGCUAGGGGGUCAUCCCGACUUACCAACCCGAUGCAAACUACGAAUACCGAAGAAUGUUAUCACGGGAGACACACGGCGGGUGCUAACGUCCGUCGUGAAGAGGGAAACAACCCAGACCGCCAGCUAAGGUCCCAAAGUCAUGGUUAAGUGGGAAACGAUGUGGGAAGGCACAGACAGCCAGGAUGUUGGCUUAGAAGCAGCCAUCAUUUAAAGAAAGCGUAAUAGCUCACUGGUCGAGUCGGCCUGCGCGGAAGAUGUAACGGGGCUAAACCAUGCACCGAAGCUGCGGCAGCGACACUAUGUGUUGUUGGGUAGGGGAGCGUUCUGUAAGCCUGCGAAGGUGACCUGUGAGGGUUGCUGGAGGUAUCAGAAGUGCGAAUGCUGACAUAAGUAACGAUAAAGCGGGUGAAAAGCCCGCUCGCCGGAAGACCAAGGGUUCCUGUCCAACGUUAAUCGGGGCAGGGUGAGUCGACCCCUAAGGCGAGGCCGAAAGGCGUAGUCGAUGGGAAACAGGUUAAUAUUCCUGUACUUGGUGUUACUGCGAAGGGGGGACGGAGAAGGCUAUGUUAGCCGGGCGACGGUUGUCCCGGUUUAAGCAUGUAGGCUGGUUAUCCAGGCAAAUCCGGAUAAUCAAGGCUGAGGUGUGAUGACGAAGCACUACGGUGCUGAAGUAACAAAUGCCCUGCUUCCAGGAAAAGCCUCUAAGCAUCAGGUAACAUCAAAUCGUACCCCAAACCGACACAGGUGGUCAGGUAGAGAAUACCAAGGCGCUUGAGAGAACUCGGGUGAAGGAACUAGGCAAAAUGGUGCCGUAACUUCGGGAGAAGGCACGCUGGUGUGUAGGUGAAGCCCCUGCGGGUGGAGCUGAGACCAGUCGAAGAUACCAGCUGGCUGCAACUGUUUAUUAAAAACACAGCACUGUGCAAACACGAAAGUGGACGUAUACGGUGUGACGCCUGCCCGGUGCCGGAAGGUUAAUUGAUGGGGUUAUCCGUAAGGAGAAGCUCUUGAUCGAAGCCCCGGUAAACGGCGGCCGUAACUAUAACGGUCCUAAGGUAGCGAAAUUCCUUGUCGGGUAAGUUCCGACCUGCACGAAUGGCGUAAUGAUGGCCAGGCUGUCUCCACCCGAGACUCAGUGAAAUUGAACUCGCUGUGAAGAUGCAGUGUACCCGCGGCAAGACGGAAAGACCCCGUGAACCUUUACUAUAGCUUGACACUGAACAUUGAGCCUUGAUGUGUAGGAUAGGUGGGAGGCUUUGAAGCGUGGACGCCAGUCUGCGUGGAGCCAACCUUGAAAUACCACCCUUUAAUGUUUGAUGUUCUAACGUUGGCCCCUGACCGGGGUUGCGGACAGUGUCUGGUGGGUAGUUUGACUGGGGCGGUCUCCUCCCAAAGCGUAACGGAGGAGCACGAAGGUUAGCUAAUCCUGGUCGGACAUCAGGAGGUUAGUGCAAUGGCAUAAGCUAGCUUGACUGCGAGCGUGACGGCGCGAGCAGGUGCGAAAGCAGGUCAUAGUGAUCCGGUGGUUCUGAAUGGAAGGGCCAUCGCUCAACGGAUAAAAGGUACUCCGGGGAUAACAGGCUGAUACCGCCCAAGAGUUCAUAUCGACGGCGGUGUUUGGCACCUCGAUGUCGGCUCAUCACAUCCUGGGGCUGAAGUAGGUCCCAAGGGUAUGGCUGUUCGCCAUUUAAAGUGGUACGCGAGCUGGGUUUAGAACGUCGUGAGACAGUUCGGUCCCUAUCUGCCGUGGGCGCUGGAGAAUUGAGGGGGGCUGCUCCUAGUACGAGAGGACCGGAGUGGACGCAUCACUGGUGUUCGGGUUGUCAUGCCAAUGGCACUGCCCGGUAGCUAAAUGCGGAAGAGAUAAGUGCUGAAAGCAUCUAAGCACGAAACUUGCCCCGAGAUGAGUUCUCCCUGAGACUUUAAGUCUCCUGAAGGAACGUUGAAGACGACGACGUUGAUAGGCCGGGUGUGUAAGCGCAGCGAUGCGUUGAGCUAACCGGUACUAAUGAACCGUGAGGCUUAACCUU
This 2902-nucleotide ribosomal RNA is filed under the name Klebsiella quasipneumoniae. Its description in RNAcentral is "23S ribosomal RNA". It matches the Rfam family "Bacterial large subunit ribosomal RNA". Lineage: Bacteria; Pseudomonadati; Pseudomonadota; Gammaproteobacteria; Enterobacterales; Enterobacteriaceae. The record is from RNAcentral.